UAACCUCACCCCGAGAAUUCUUUUUCGGGAGUGGACUUGGAUGUUGCCGUCUCAUCGCGGCUCGUCUUGAAUGUCUCAGCGUGCCCCAUUUGUCGGUGUAUACAGCGUGAUAGGUAUCUUCGCUGGUCAGCUUCUUCGGAGGCGCACCCUCGAGUGAAAAGGUGUGCUACCAACCGUCCUCGGACAAUCUUUGACA
This 196-nucleotide unclassified non-coding RNA is filed under the name uncultured Serendipita. RNAcentral's name for it is "sequence contains ITS2". Lineage: Eukaryota; Fungi; Basidiomycota; Agaricomycetes; Sebacinales. The record is from RNAcentral.